UGGGGAAUUUUGCACAAUGGGCGCAAGCCUGAUGCAGCAACGCCGCGUGGGUGAAGAAGGUCCUAGGAUUGUAAAGCCCUUUCGGCUGGGAAGAAGGGGCGACGGGAUAAUACCUCGUCGUCUUGACGGUACCAGAGGAAGAAGCACCGGCUAAUUCCGUGCCAGCAGCCGCGGUAAUACGGAAGGUGCAAGCGUUGUUCGGAAUGACUGGGCGUAAAGCGCACGUAGGCGGCUUGGUAAGUCGGCUGUGAAAGCCCUGGGCUUAACCUAGGAAUAGCAGCCGAAACUACCUCGCUUGAAUGCUUGAGAGGUUGGCAGAAUUCCUGGUGUAGGGGUGAAAUCCGUAGAUAUCAGGAGGAACAUCGGAGGCGAAGGCGGCCGGCUGGCAAUGCAUUGACGC
Molecule: ribosomal RNA, 400 nt
Filed under: uncultured bacterium
Lineage: Bacteria
Description: bacterial SSU rRNA
Rfam family: Bacterial small subunit ribosomal RNA
Source: RNAcentral